Molecule: long non-coding RNA, 437 nt
Organism: Nerophis ophidion (straightnose pipefish)
Lineage: Eukaryota; Metazoa; Chordata; Actinopteri; Syngnathiformes; Syngnathidae
Exons: 2
Source: RefSeq, a predicted model, not a curated record
CACACCACUUGCAUGUGAGAGACAACAAUUUUAGUAGUAUAUGUGUGCAAGGAUUUCAGUUAUAUGUAUAAGAGCAUCUUACCAGUGUGGGUGAGAGGAUUUCAGUAGUGUGUAUAACCAACAUUGCAUUCCGGUUCCGGUCACCAAUAAUGUCUGCCCCUUUUCAUUUUUUUUUUUUUUUUUUUUUUUUUAGAGCCAAGUUGUGUGUCCAACAAAAUGUCUGCCGAACUGCCGACAAGUAGCUUAACGGAGGUACCGUCUGCAGCAUUAUCAAGCGCAACCUUCUACCUCAUGGACAUCGGGUCAAGAAGAGGAAAAGAGACAGCUGCAUGACCGUUUCAACAAAGACAGAAAACACAACCUCUGGAUUCAUGGAACUUCUCUGCACACAAAUAUAUUAAUUGGAAUAUUCAAUAAAUUUAACAUAAAUAUAUGAA